CGAGGGUUGGAACUGGAGUCAUUAAGUCUUUCAAACAACAAGGACUUUCUCCAGAAUACCUACUUGAUAAACCUUCUUGACUGACUGUGCCUAUUUGUAAUCUCUGCUCACAACUGGGUCCUUGACAAAACCUACUAUAAACUUCUCAACCAUCAAUUAUACAUAAAAAAUGUGGGUGAAAUGAUGGAGAAGAAUUCAACAAAUAGCAUUGCUCAUAAUGGAGAGAAGAUUCUACCUUCUACAAUAUGUAAUUUGAUGAAAUAUGCUAAGCAAGGUUGGGAGAAAAUGGAACCAUUAUUUGUUGUCCAAGCUCCUGGAUCACACGCUACCACUUGCUUAUCUCACUGGGAUCACGUUUUUCCUGUGGCAUGCCCCUCUGUUCAUCUACCUCUCUGCCUCGCCCAUGGUUUGCUGAAUGCUCCCGGUGAGCCUGGUAUCCUGAAGGACCUUCGUAUCCGCUGUGGUUGGGUUCUCUCAGCUUUCUGCUUGGCCUUGGGCAAAGCCACGGUACGCUCCAACUCUUCAGCUCUGGCCCGAAUGCCUUGAGCUUGAAUACAAAUAACCUUGGAGUGGGAAGCUUUUCUACUCAACCACGGACAUAGCUGAACAGAUUUUGCUUUACUGAAAUGAAGUGGAGCCUGAAUUUAUCUGGAAAUGUGUGGAAUCAGCAGAGAGCAGUAAACAAAAGUCUAGGGAAGUGGGAAACCAUUGUGAAUGAUUCUGUGUUUUCCACUCCCAGCGGGCAUUUGGGCAUUAUUGUAAAGAACCAUGUUUUCAAACCUGCCAAUAACAGAACAGAUCUUUAUUCAUUGUGGAUGAGGCUUCCACUGGGAGAGUUGAAACUCUCGUUCCUUUUUCGCCAACUAGAGAAGCUCUUCAGAGUUCCAAGCUUCUGUUUUCUGACUUCCAUGCCAUAAAGGGAGAUGUUAGAUAUAUUUCCCAUAGGAUAACCUCAGGGCUUUCUGGGGGAAGUCGGACAGUUUCUAUGGUGGCACAGAACGACAGUUCACCAGAGAAACAAUCUCAAGGAAAGGGCAAAUAUAUGCAUUCUGUCCAUUUGUCUUUCCUCUGUGUGUAUUGUUGCAAACAAUAGAAUCCACUCAAGUAAGUUUAGGCAGAAAAGGGAUUUAAUAAGGGAAAUGGGUAGCUCGUAGAAUCACUGUAGUGGGGGGCGGAUUGCUGUAGAAACAGAUUUGAGGCUAAGUUUCCAGAAACAUGUCCCACAUCAAAUCACAAAAC
Long non-coding RNA from Neogale vison (American mink), 1239 nucleotides. RefSeq lists it as uncharacterized. The record is from RefSeq and is a predicted model, not a curated record. The transcript has 3 exons. Lineage: Eukaryota; Metazoa; Chordata; Mammalia; Carnivora; Mustelidae.